UCUUCAGACUGGGAGUGUGGUUCCAAGCGGAGGUCAUCAGGCUGCAAGUCUGGCUAGGCAGCCAGGGGCCUGGUUCACAUAGGGCUGGCCGUGUGAACUACAAAGUACCAAAAGUCCCAUUGUGGAAGCCAGCAGGUGGACGGACUCCUUAUCAUCUGCCCUCUCUGCUGGGAUUCCAGGAAAAGUCAAGGGCCAUGGAGGCAAGCCAAGACCAUCCCUGUGAGGAGUGGAAGGGAGGGCCAAAGAGUCCUGGAACCCACUUCCGUCUGCCAUUGCGUGGAAUAAUUCCUUCAACUCCACCAGAAAGGCUUACUGCCCAUGUCUUUCCCACCCAGGGCUCCCAGGUCCCCACCCUGGCCACACCUGGUCAAGCUUGCUGGGCAGCACAGGCUGAGGUUGCCAUCUUGACUCCUGAUUCCAUCCCUGUCUUCUCCAGGCUGUGUGCUGGGGCACGACUGUCGUGACAAAUUCCUACCUUGCUGCCCCAGUGAGCUAUUCUUAUUGGUCAACCUAUGGAUGGGUGGCCAAGCCCUCCUUUGUGAAGCCGUAAAUCUACACCUGCCUGAGGUCUGAGAAGGCCCACAAGGCCUAGUUGAAUGCAAAUUUGGCCCUGGAGCCCAGAGCUUGGUGGAAGGAGGGGCAAGUGUG
Peromyscus californicus insignis is the source of this 648-nucleotide long non-coding RNA. RefSeq lists it as uncharacterized. The transcript is spliced from 4 exons. The record is from RefSeq and is a predicted model, not a curated record. Lineage: Eukaryota; Metazoa; Chordata; Mammalia; Rodentia; Cricetidae.